RNAcentral lists this ribosomal RNA (503 nucleotides) under uncultured bacterium. RNAcentral describes it as "bacterial SSU rRNA". It matches the Rfam family "Bacterial small subunit ribosomal RNA", at positions 28 to 529 of the family's 1533-position model. The record is from RNAcentral.
GACGAACGCUGGCGGCGUGCCUAAUACAUGCAAGUCGAGCGGGGAUUAUGCUUGAUCGCUUCGGUGAGACGGCAUAUAUCCUAGCGGCGGACGGGUGAGUAACGCGUGGGUAAUCUACCUCGUAGUUCGGGAUAACAGGCCGAAAGGCUUGCUAAUACCGGAUGAGUUCAUGCUUAUGCAUAUAGGCAUGAAGAAAGGGCUAGCCCGCUAUGAGAUGAGCCCGCGUCCCAUUAGCUUGUUGGUGGGGUAACGGCCUACCAAGGCAACGAUGGGUAGCCGGCCUGAGAGGGUGUACGGCCACACUGGGACUGAGACACGGCCCAGACUCCUACGGGGGCAGCAGUAGGGAAUUUUCGGCAAUGGGCGAAAGCCUGACCGAGCGACGCCGCGUGAGGGACGAAGGCCUUCGGGUUGUAAAGCUCUGUCCUAGGGGAAGAUAAUGACGGUACCCGUAGGAGGAAGCCCCGGCUAACUACGUGCCAGCAGCCGCGGUAAAGUACUCU